RNAcentral lists this ribosomal RNA (332 nucleotides) under uncultured bacterium. RNAcentral's name for it is "bacterial SSU rRNA". It matches the Rfam family "Bacterial small subunit ribosomal RNA", at positions 28 to 334 of the family's 1533-position model. The record is from RNAcentral.
GACGAACGCUGGCGGCGUGCCUAAUACAUGCAAGUCGAGCGAGCGGAACCAACAGAUUUACUUCGGUAAUGACGUUGGGAAAGCGAGCGGCGGAUGGGUGAGUAACACGUGGGGAACCUGCCCCUAAGUCUGGGAUACCAUUUGGAAACAGGUGCUAAUACCGGAUAAUAAAGCAGAUCGCAUGAUCAGCUUUUGAAAGGCGGCGUAAGCUGUCGCUAAGGGAUGGCCCCGCGGUGCAUUAGCUAGUAGGCGAGGUAACGGCCCACCUAGGCGACGAUCAGUAGCCGGACUGAGAGGUUGACCGGCCACAUUGGGACUGAGACACGGCCCAG